Molecule: ribosomal RNA, 253 nt
Filed under: uncultured bacterium
Lineage: Bacteria
Description: partial 16S ribosomal RNA
Rfam family: Bacterial small subunit ribosomal RNA
Source: RNAcentral
UACGAAGGGGGCUAGCGUUGCUCGGAAUCACUGGGCGUAAAGCGCACGUAGGCGGAUUGUUAAGUCAGGGGUGAAAUCCUGGAGCUCAACUCCAGAACUGCCUUUGAUACUGGCGAUCUCGAGUCCGGGAGAGGUGAGUGGAACUACGAGUGUAGAGGUGAAAUUCGUAGAUAUUCGCAAGAACACCAGUGGCGAAGGCGGCUCACUGGCCCGGUACUGACGCUGAGGUGCGAAAGCGUGGGGAGCAAACAGG